AUUCAAUUGUCAGAGGUGAAAUUCUUGAUUUAUGGAAGAUGAACUUAUGCGAAAGCAUUUACCAAGGAUGUUUUCAUUAAUCAAGAACGAAAGUUAGGGGAUCGAAGAUGAUUAGAUACCAUCGUAGUCUUAACCAUAAACUAUGCCGACUAGGGAUUGGCGGGUGUUACUUUAAUGACCCCGUCAGCACCUUAUGAGAAAUCAAAGUCUUUGGGUUCCGGGGGGAGUAUGGUCGCAAGGCUGAAACUUAAGGGAAUUGACGGAAGGGCACCACCAGGAGUGGAGCCUGCGGCUUAAUUUGACUCAACACGGGGAAACUUACCAGGUCCAGACAUAGUAAGGAUUGACAGAUUGAGAGCUCUUUCUUGAUUCUAUGG
Molecule: ribosomal RNA, 377 nt
Filed under: uncultured marine eukaryote
Lineage: Eukaryota
Description: SSU rRNA
Rfam family: Eukaryotic small subunit ribosomal RNA
Source: RNAcentral